GUUACAGUAGACCAUAUUACAGGGGUUAGUAACAUGGUCAGGGGGACUAGGGUUAGUAACAUGGUCAGGGGGACUAGGGUUGUUACAGUAGAUCAUAUUACAGGGGUUAGUAACAUGGUCAGGGGGACUAGGGUUAGUAACAUGGUCAGGGGGACGAGGGGUGUUACAGUAGACUAUUACAGGGGUUAGUAACAUGGUCAGGGGGACUAGGGUUAGUAACAUGGUCAGGGGGACUGGGGGUGUUACAGUAGACCAUAUUACAGGGGUUAGUAAGAUGUUCAGGGGUACUAGGGUUAGUAACAUGGUCAGGGGGACUAGGGG
Molecule: long non-coding RNA, 321 nt
Organism: Oncorhynchus tshawytscha (Chinook salmon)
Lineage: Eukaryota; Metazoa; Chordata; Actinopteri; Salmoniformes; Salmonidae
Source: Ensembl